This is a long non-coding RNA of Belonocnema kinseyi, 1287 nucleotides long. RefSeq lists it as uncharacterized. Lineage: Eukaryota; Metazoa; Arthropoda; Insecta; Hymenoptera; Cynipidae. The record is from RefSeq and is a predicted model, not a curated record. The transcript is spliced from 4 exons.
UAAAAGAUGAAAUUCGACGAGUAGACGAACAAGCAGAGUGCGAUAACGAUUUAUUAAAUCUAUCGCUAUUACAAACGCAAUAACUUUUAUAAACGAUAAACGCUCGUAAAGUGGAAGGUCGCGCAUAAAUGUCUCAUUUUUUACAUGCUUAAUAAUAGUGAUUAAAAUUGCAAUAGUAGUAGACACGCCAGAACAACAACGAGGCUUCGACAUAUAAUUCGACAUUCAUACUGUGACAGCAUUUUUCGCACCAUUUAUAAAAUUCGCGACAAAAGUACGUCGAAAUAAAAGACUAGCGGACGGGAGGGCCGACGUAACUGUCUGCGUCCUGAGAACAUUGUUAAAAGAUACAAAAAAUUAGACAAAAUUGAGAGAUCCCAAACUAGGCUUAUAAAAUUUUGAGAGCUUUCUUAUUAGCAAGAAGUGAUAUUUCUCUUUCAGAGAAGAAUAAAUGCUAAGAAGUGUUUAUGACAGGAUCAGUUGUUCGCCAAUAAGAAGCUCCGAGUUCCAACCAAUUACACCAUUUGAUGUACGGAAAGAAAGCAAUACAAAUGAUCAGGAGUUCUAAAUUAUUGCAUGAAUAAUGGCUGUUCUCAAUCUUAUAGCACACAAAGUGCAAGCUUAAAUUGGUUCAGAUUCUAACUUUGCAAGCUCUUCAGUCAAAACUUAUUACGUCAUUAAAAAAAAAUCAAUAAUAAUCUUCAAAUUUAUUCAUUCACUUUGUCUCCAUCCAAGUUUCUAUGUUUCCGCUCACUUAUCGCAUUCUUUUGUCUCAUUUUUUGCUACCACUAAGCGUGAAAAUUUGUUAGUACAGAAUGAAGAUAAGUCAGCUAAGAUAAUAUGAAGCUUAAUUUGGAAAAAAAAUGAAAUCGCACUGAAUGGAGGUUCGAUGUUCGUUUGCAUUACCGAAAAUUGGACGGCGUCAGACAGGCUAUAAAAGUAUACUUGUGAAUAUGGAGUGGCCUGGAAGUGAAAUUCACGAUGCCAAAACCGAAAGGCAAAAAUACAUCAUCUUUCACGCGAAGUGGAUAGUUAGUUCUUCGCUAAAUGAAAAUUCUUUGCAAGUGGAAAUCUUUUAUUUUGAAACAAAAGAGGAAGACUAUAAUUUGGAAAUUGGCGUCUGAGAGCAAUUAAUUACAAAGUAUGCCUCGUGUAUCUCCAUGGUUGUAGCGGUCUACCGAAAGCUGCUUUUGUAUAAAUAUGCACAUAAUUCAAACCAUUUUACGAGUAUGAAACAAGCAAUCAACACUGACUUCUCGUGAAAUUAUUAUUUUACAGCAUUACAGU